Raphanus sativus (radish) is the source of this 658-nucleotide long non-coding RNA. RefSeq lists it as uncharacterized. The record is from RefSeq and is a predicted model, not a curated record. Lineage: Eukaryota; Viridiplantae; Streptophyta; Magnoliopsida; Brassicales; Brassicaceae. The transcript has 3 exons.
CCCACUCCUAUCACGUUUCAUCAAUGAAUACAUCCCCCCUUCUCUGAAUCUUAAACUAUAAAAUUGUUCGUUGUAUCCUCUGAAAAUUCAUCUGUUCAAUUGUUUCAAUAACAAGCUUCUUAAAAAGAUCCAGUGAUAACAAUGGCUAUCUCCGCUGUUAUAUAGUUUGAGGCAGAGAGAAUAAGAUAAAACAGAUGAGAGAUCAGAUCCAUUGUUGAAAGCUCGCUUACGAUGCGUUUCGGAAGCAUGGUCUGGAAUCUUCUAAGACGGCUGACUUUAUCUCUGGAGAUAGCUUGAUGGGUUCGAUCACUUGCGCUGUUCUGUAAUCUGUUUCUUCGUUGAGGUUGAAUCGAAGAACAGAGGUUGGAGAACGGGGUUCUUCGUUGAGAUGAUUUCUUUAUUGCCAAUUAGUAUUAGGAUUACUGUGACAGAAGCAUCUGAAGGACUGAUAGUGGGAGCAUCUGAAGGAAGAGCAAUAGAGCAUUGUGACAAAGAACAUCACGUCGUGCUUUGUUUUUUUCCUUUUUGGAACUUUUUUAAAAGGUGGGUCAAAUGGUGAGUAAAUAAACCAAGUGAGUUGUAAGAUCUUUAGUUAUCAAGUCCUGCUUUGUUGAACACAAAGAUGUUAAAAUGGCUUUAUCAUGAACUGAAGAAGGAU